This 279-nucleotide long non-coding RNA is filed under the name Homo sapiens (human). Its description in RNAcentral is "HSALNT0089537". The record is from RNAcentral. Lineage: Eukaryota; Metazoa; Chordata; Mammalia; Primates; Hominidae.
CCUGGCACCCUCCCACUGAGGACGGGAGAUGGCUCUGGGGAAAUUCCAUUCCAUAAUUCAUUUAAGCAGGAUAAACAGAGCUCCUGCUCUGGAAGAUCCAGCCCUGAGCAAAAGGCACUUGGAAUCGACAUGGGGGGCUCGAAUGUCCCUGUGAAACAUAAACAUAAGGAGGCAGGAGACAUGAGAUGCAGCCGGCUCUGACCCCAAAGAGCCAUGGGACCUGGCCACCUGGGAGGAGCUGGAGGACAAAGGACUUCACAGAAGAAUGGAGUCCCAAAG